This 469-nucleotide ribosomal RNA is filed under the name uncultured bacterium. Its description in RNAcentral is "partial 16S ribosomal RNA". It matches the Rfam family "Bacterial small subunit ribosomal RNA", at positions 27 to 507 of the family's 1533-position model. The record is from RNAcentral.
GGACGAACGCUGGCGGCGUGCUUACCACAUGCAAGUCGAACGGAAAGGCCCUGCUUUUGUGGGGUGCUCGAGUGGCGAACGGGUGAGUAACACGUGAGUAACCUGCCCUUGACUUUGGGAUAACUUCAGGAAACUGGGGCUAAUACCGGAUAGGAGCUCCUGCUGCAUGGUGGGGGUUGGAAAGUUUCGGCGGUUGGGGAUGGACUCGCGGCUUAUCAGCUUGUUGGUGGGGUAGUGGCUUACCAAGGCUUUGACGGGUAGCCGGCCUGAGAGGGUGACCGGCCACAUUGGGACUGAGAUACGGCCCAGACUCCUACGGGAGGCAGCAGUGGGGAAUAUUGCACAAUGGGCGGAAGCCUGACGCAGCAACGCCGCGUGCGGGAUGACGGCCUUCGGGUUGUAAACCGCUUUCGCCUGUGACGAAGCGUGAGUGACGGUAAUGGGUAAAGAAGCACCGGCUAACUACGUG